This 350-nucleotide unclassified non-coding RNA is filed under the name soil metagenome. Its description in RNAcentral is "partial contains 5.8S ribosomal RNA, internal transcribed spacer 2, and large subunit ribosomal RNA". The stretch from base 2 to 121 matches the Rfam family "5.8S ribosomal RNA", at positions 35 to 154 of the family's 154-position model. The record is from RNAcentral.
GGAUGAAGAACGUAGCGAAAUGCGAUACGUAAUGUGAAUUGCAGAAUUCAGUGAAUCAUCGAGUCUUUGAACGCACAUUGCGCCCCCUGGUAUUCCGGGGGGCAUGCCUGUCCGAGCGUCAUUGCUGCCCUCAAGCACGGCUUGUGUGUUGGGCCUCCGCCCCCCGGCUCCCGGGGGGCGGGCCCGAAAGGCAGCGGCGGCACCGCGUCCGGUCCUCGAGCGUAUGGGGCUUCGUCACCCGCUCCGUAGGCCCGGCCGGCGCCCGCCGGCGACCCCCCUCAAUCUUUCCUGGUUGACCUCGGAUCAGGUAGGGAUACCCGCUGAACUUAAGCAUAUCAAUAAGCGGAGGA